This is a non-coding RNA of Malassezia vespertilionis, 101 nucleotides long. Lineage: Eukaryota; Fungi; Basidiomycota; Malasseziomycetes; Malasseziales; Malasseziaceae. The record is from the annotation of a RefSeq genome assembly.
UCCCGGCUAGCUCAGUCGGUAGAGCGUCAGACUCUUAAAAGGGUCUCUUCGAUUACGAAGGGUUCAUCUGAAUGUCGUGGGUUCGAGCCCCACGUUGGGAG